GCCGGGUGCAGUGGCUCGUGCGUAUAGUCCCAGCUACUUGGGAGGCUGAGGUGGGAGGACUUGCUUGAGUUCAGGAGUUCUGGGCUGUAGUGUGCUGUGCCUAUCAGGUGUCUGCACUAAGUUUGGCAUCAAUAUGGUGACAUCCCGGGCAGAGGGGACCACCAGGUUGCCUAAGGAGGGGUGAACCGGCCCAGGUCAGAAACAAAGCUGGUCAAAACUCCCAUGGUGAUCAGUAGUGGGAUCACACCUGUGAAUAGACACUGCACUCCAGACUGGGCAAUAUAGCGAGACCCCAUCUCU
Molecule: signal recognition particle RNA, 300 nt
Filed under: Cebus imitator (Panamanian white-faced capuchin)
Lineage: Eukaryota; Metazoa; Chordata; Mammalia; Primates; Cebidae
Description: Metazoan signal recognition particle RNA (ENSCCAG00000004563.1)
Rfam family: Metazoan signal recognition particle RNA
About the family: The signal recognition particle (SRP) is a universally conserved ribonucleoprotein. It is involved in the co-translational targeting of proteins to membranes.
Source: RNAcentral